Molecule: long non-coding RNA, 1226 nt
Filed under: Mus spicilegus (steppe mouse)
Lineage: Eukaryota; Metazoa; Chordata; Mammalia; Rodentia; Muridae
Description: lncRNA (ENSMSIG00000012837.1)
Source: RNAcentral
UGAGCUGUCUGCUGUCCACCCAGCACCAGAGUCAGACAAGCAAGACAGCGAGGCGUCUGGGGCUGGAAGUCAGGGAAAGGAGGGUUCGAGGUACCUGCUUGUCCAAAGCGUCCCGGGCGCCUGCGGGUCCUGCGUUGGUCCUGGGUGGUGCGGGAGUCCGCUCACAGCUGCAGCCCUCUAGAAGGUACAUGCCGGCUGGGCGGCCGCUCUGCUCGCCUUCGAAGUAAAAGAGCACAUUCUGGUAGAGAGCGAACCACUUCUCGUGCCAGCGGCUCGCCUCUGCAGCCUUCUUGCUCAGGAAGCCGCGUUUGGUGCCCUCCUUGCGCGCCAGCAUGGCCAGGUACAGGGCGUGCCCCUCGUUGUAGCGCACGCUCUUCUGCAUGGCGAGGGCGCGGAGGGCGUUCGAGUCGUAGCCUCAGCUUCUUGGCGGGGUCAUCGCAGAUUGCCCUCCGGGAGGACGCACCGCAGACUGCCUGCCACGGGGCACCCCGCUCGCCGCCCAGACCUAGGACGCCUAUCCGGGCUGGAGCACCAGCACCGUCUCCUCCCCGACCGCGCCCUCUCCGGCCCCCGACGCCUCCUGUUCCCCGGAAGCCCGGUGCCGAGUGGCCCUCCGAGGGCGCCCGCACCAGUGUCACUCCACCCGAAGUAUUGCGGGAGCCCAGCCUCUGCGGCGGGCUGCGCUGUGCUAUGAGGCGCGCGGCAGCCAGAGGACUGUCCUCGGGCAACGCGCUCCGGGAGACAGAAGGUAAAACGUCACGUGGGAGAUCAGCAGUAAGCGGCUUGGAGACCGAUUUAAAGGGUAAAGCCGGCGCGGUGGCGGCCGCGGAGGCGCUGCGUGCUCACCCCAGCGCACAUCCUUCAGUCGCCUGCCAGGACCUUGGCCUCUGCUUCUGUCCAGGCCAAGCCUGGAUGGGGCAGAUCGCCCAAGAGGAGCAGGAGCGAGCGUGGUAGCGCCCAGUCGCUCACAGCACAAACACUCACAAAUGUGCUCUCAUGCAUACACAGGCAAACGCACACUGAACAUACACAUGGAGACUGAAGCAUGCACACAAACACACAACGCUCAUAUUCGCGCACAAAAUCACACAUGCACCCAAAUACAAUAAGCACAGGCAUACAAGCAUACAUGCACUCACAACAUAAAUUACCAAAUACUCUUUAAUCCAAUGCUCACAGUCAUACACAUAAGACUGCAAUGUACAGUCACGUAUAGCACAUUCCUA